GACGAACGCUGGCGGCGUGCUUAACACAUGCAAGUCGAACGGAAAGGCCUCUUUCGGGGGGUACUCGAGUGGCGAACGGGUGAGUAACACGUGAGUAACCUGCCCUUGACUUUGGGAUAACUUCAGGAAACUGGGGCUAAUACCGGAUAGGAGCUCCUGCUGCAUGGUGGGGGUUGGAAAGUUUCGGCGGUUGGGGAUGGACUCGCGGCUUAUCAGCUUGUUAGUGGGGUAGUGGCUUACCAAGGCUUUGACGGGUAGCCGGCCUGAGAGGGUGACCGGCCACAUUGGGACUGAGAUACGGCCCAGACUCCUACGGGAGGCAGCAGUGGGGAAUAUUGCACAAUGGGUGGAAGCCUGAUGCAGCAACGCCGUGUGCGGGAUGACGGCCUUCGGGUUGUAAACCGCUUUCGCUCAUGACGAAGCUUUGUGUGACGGUAGUGGGUAAAGAAGCACCGGCUAACUACGUG
Molecule: ribosomal RNA, 467 nt
Filed under: uncultured bacterium
Lineage: Bacteria
Description: partial 16S ribosomal RNA
Rfam family: Bacterial small subunit ribosomal RNA
Source: RNAcentral